UGCCUUGUACAAACAGAAAGAAGUGGCC
Molecule: non-coding RNA, 28 nt
Filed under: Homo sapiens (human)
Lineage: Eukaryota; Metazoa; Chordata; Mammalia; Primates; Hominidae
Source: RNAcentral